GAGUUUGAUCCUGGCUCAGGACGAACGCUGGCGGCGCGCUUAACACAUGCAAGUCGAACGUGAAGCUGGAGCUUGCUCCGGUGGAAAGUGGCGAACGGGGUGCGUAACACGUGAGCAACCUGCCCCGAAGACUGGGAUAACACCGGGAAACCGGUGCUAAUACCGGAUACCUUCUUCCGAUCGCAUGGUUGGACGAAGAAAUGGAUUCCGCUUCGGGAUGGGCUCGCGGCCUAUCAGCUUGUUGGUGAGGUAACGGCCCACCAAGGCGACGACGGGUAGCUGGUCUGAGAGGACGACCAGCCACACUGGGACUGAGACACGGCCCAGACUCCUACGGGAGGCAGCAGUGGGGAAUCUUGCUCAAUGGGCGAAAGCCUGAAGCAGCGACGCCGCGUGCGGGAUGAAGGCCUCGG
RNAcentral lists this ribosomal RNA (413 nucleotides) under uncultured bacterium. RNAcentral describes it as "bacterial SSU rRNA". It matches the Rfam family "Bacterial small subunit ribosomal RNA", at positions 9 to 420 of the family's 1533-position model. The record is from RNAcentral.